GCCGUAGGGGGCAAGCGUUGUCCGGACUUAUUGGGCGUAAAGAGCUCGUAGGCGGUUUGUUGCGUCUGCUGUGAAAGUUCGGGGCUCAACCCCGGAACGGCAGUGGGUACGGGCAGACUAGAGUGCGGUAGAGGAGACUGGAAUUGCUGGUGUAGCGGUGGAAUGCGCAGAUAUCAGGAGGAACACCAGUGGCGAAGGCGGGUCUCUGGGCAGCAACUGGCGCUGAGGAGCGAAAGCGUGGGGAGCGAACAGG
RNAcentral lists this ribosomal RNA (253 nucleotides) under uncultured bacterium. RNAcentral's name for it is "partial 16S ribosomal RNA". It matches the Rfam family "Bacterial small subunit ribosomal RNA", at positions 524 to 776 of the family's 1533-position model. The record is from RNAcentral.